GACGAACGCUGGCGGCGUGCUUAACACACGCAAGUCGAACGGAAAGGCCCUGCUUUUGUGGGGUGCUCGAGUGGCGAACGGGUGAGUAACACGUGAGUAACCUGCCCUUGACUUUGGGAUAACUUCAGGAAACUGGGGCUAAUACCGGAUAGGAGCUCCUGCUGCAUGGUGGGGGUUGGAAAGUUUCGGCGGUUGGGGAUGGACUCGCGGCUUAUCAGCUUGUUGGUGGGGUAGUGGCUUACCAAGGCUUUGACGGGUAGCCGGCCUGAGAGGGUGACCGGCCACAUUGGGACUGAGAUACGGCCCAGACUCCUACGGGAGGCAGCAGUGGGGAAUAUUGCACAAUGGGCGGAAGCCUGAUGCAGCAACGCCGCGUGCGGGAUGACGGCCUUCGGGUUGUAAACCGCUUUCACCUGUGACGAAGCGUGAGUGACGGUAAUGGGUAAAGAAGCACCGGCUAACUACGUG
This 468-nucleotide ribosomal RNA is filed under the name uncultured bacterium. RNAcentral describes it as "partial 16S ribosomal RNA". It matches the Rfam family "Bacterial small subunit ribosomal RNA", at positions 28 to 507 of the family's 1533-position model. The record is from RNAcentral.